AAAUUUCUGAAUCCGUGACUAGAUUUCGUCAGACGCCAACCCAUAUGAACUGAUGAGACUUCCAAGAUAAGUGAAAUA
Molecule: non-coding RNA, 78 nt
Organism: Schistosoma mattheei
Lineage: Eukaryota; Metazoa; Platyhelminthes; Trematoda; Strigeidida; Schistosomatidae
Source: Rfam